This 202-nucleotide ribosomal RNA is filed under the name Salmonella enterica subsp. enterica serovar Tennessee. RNAcentral's name for it is "partial 23S ribosomal RNA". It matches the Rfam family "Bacterial large subunit ribosomal RNA", at positions 1 to 194 of the family's 2925-position model. The record is from RNAcentral. Lineage: Bacteria; Pseudomonadati; Pseudomonadota; Gammaproteobacteria; Enterobacterales; Enterobacteriaceae.
GGGUUGUGAGGUUAAGCGACUAAGCGUACACGGUGGAUGCCCUGGCAGUCAGAGGCGAUGAAGGGCGUGCUAAUAUGCGAUAAGCGCCGGUAAGGUGAUAUGAACCGUUAUAACCGGCGAUACCCGAAUGGGGAAACCCAGUGUGACUCGUCACACUAUCAUUAACUGAAUCCAUAGGUUAAUGAGGCGAACCGGGGGAACU